GCUUACGGCCAUACCACCCUGAAUGCGCCCGAUCACGUCUGAUCUCGGAAGCUAAGCAGGGUCUGGCCUGGUUAGUACUUGGAUGGGAGACCGCCUGGGAAUACCAGGUGCUGUAAGCU
RNAcentral lists this ribosomal RNA (119 nucleotides) under Larimichthys crocea (large yellow croaker). The record is from RNAcentral. Lineage: Eukaryota; Metazoa; Chordata; Actinopteri; Sciaenidae.